GAUGAACGCUGGCGGCGUGCCUAAUACAUGCAAGUCGAGCGAACAGACGAGGAGCUUGCUCCUCUGACGUUAGCGGCGGACGGGUGAGUAACAAGUGGAUAACCUACCUAUAAGACUGGGAUAACUUCGGGAAACCGGAGCUAAUACCGGAUAAUAUAUUGAACCGCAUGGUUCAAUAGUGAAAGACGGUUUUGCUGUCACUUAUAGAUGGAUCCGCGCCGCAUUAGCUAGUUGGUAAGGUAACGGCUUACCAAGGCAACGAUGCGUAGCCGACCUGAGAGGGUGAUCGGCCACACUGGAACUGCGACACGGUCCAGACUCCUACGGGAGGCAGCAGUAGGGAAUCUUCCGCAAUGGGCGAAAGCCUGACGGAGCAACGCCGCGUGAGUGAUGAAGGUCUUCGGAUCGUAAAACUCUGUUAUUAGGGAAGAACAAAUGUGUAAGUAACUAUGCACGUCUUGACGGUACCUAAUCAGAAAGCCACGGCUAACUACGUG
This 497-nucleotide ribosomal RNA is filed under the name uncultured bacterium. RNAcentral's name for it is "partial 16S ribosomal RNA". It matches the Rfam family "Bacterial small subunit ribosomal RNA", at positions 28 to 507 of the family's 1533-position model. The record is from RNAcentral.